This 782-nucleotide ribosomal RNA is filed under the name Ruegeria sp. Its description in RNAcentral is "bacterial SSU rRNA". It matches the Rfam family "Bacterial small subunit ribosomal RNA", at positions 56 to 888 of the family's 1533-position model. The record is from RNAcentral. Lineage: Bacteria; Pseudomonadati; Pseudomonadota; Alphaproteobacteria; Rhodobacterales; Roseobacteraceae.
UGCAGUCGAGCGCACCUUCGGGUGAGCGGCGGACGGGUUAGUAACGCGUGGGAACAUACCCUUUGGUACGGAAUAGCCUCUGGAAACGGAGAGUAAUACCGUAUGAGCCCUUCGGGGGAAAGAUUUAUCGCCAAAGGAUUGGCCCGCGUUAGAUUAGGUAGUUGGUGGGGUAAUGGCCUACCAAGCCUACGAUCUAUAGCUGGUUUUAGAGGAUGAUCAGCAACACUGGGACUGAGACACGGCCCAGACUCCUACGGGAGGCAGCAGUGGGGAAUCUUGGACAAUGGGGGCAACCCUGAUCCAGCCAUGCCGCGUGAGUGAUGAAGGCCUUAGGGUCGUAAAGCUCUUUCGCCUGUGAAGAUAAUGACGGUAGCAGGUAAAGAAACCCCGGCUAACUCCGUGCCAGCAGCCGCGGUAAUACGGAGGGGGUUAGCGUUGUUCGGAAUUACUGGGCGUAAAGCGCACGUAGGCGGACUGGAAAGUUGGGGGUGAAAUCCCAGGGCUCAACCCUGGAACUGCCUCCAAAACUAUCAGUCUAGAGUUCGAGAGAGGUGAGUGGAAUUCCGAGUGUAGAGGUGAAAUUCGUAGAUAUUCGGAGGAACACCAGUGGCGAAGGCGGCUCACUGGCUCGAUACUGACGCUGAGGUGCGAAAGUGUGGGGAGCAAACAGGAUUAGAUACCCUGGUAGUCCACACCGUAAACGAUGAAUGCCAGUCGUCGGGUAGCAUGCUAUUCGGUGACACACCUAACGGAUUAAGCAUUCCGCCUGGGGAGUACGGUCG